Molecule: transfer RNA, 77 nt
Filed under: Stappia sp. 22II-S9-Z10
Lineage: Bacteria; Pseudomonadati; Pseudomonadota; Alphaproteobacteria; Hyphomicrobiales; Stappiaceae
Also listed under: 3 other names
Description: tRNA-Arg
Rfam family: tRNA
About the family: Transfer RNA (tRNA) molecules are approximately 80 nucleotides in length. Their secondary structure includes four short double-helical elements and three loops (D, anti-codon, and T loops).
Source: RNAcentral
GGCCCCGUAGCUCAGCUGGAUAGAGCACCGGACUUCUAAUCCGACGGUCGCAGGUUCGAAUCCUGCCGGGGUCGCCA